RNAcentral lists this ribosomal RNA (255 nucleotides) under uncultured bacterium. RNAcentral describes it as "partial 16S ribosomal RNA". It matches the Rfam family "Bacterial small subunit ribosomal RNA", at positions 99 to 354 of the family's 1533-position model. The record is from RNAcentral.
CGGACGGGUGAGUAACGCGUGGAAAACCUGCCGUAUACUGGGGGAUAACACUUAGAAAUAGGUGCUAAUACCGCAUAAGCGCACAGCUUCGCAUGAAGCGGUGUGAAAAACUCUGGUGGUAUACGAUGGUUCCGCGUCUGAUUAGCUAGUUGGUGGGGUAAUGGCCUACCAAGGCAACGAUCAGUAGCCGGCCUGAGAGGUUGACCGGCCACAUUGGGACUGAGAUACGGCCCAGACUCCUACGGAAGGCAGCAG